AGCAGCCGCGGUAAUUCCAGCUCCAAUAGCGUAUAUUAAAGUUGCUGCAGUUAAAAAGCUCGUAGUUGAAUUUCAGGACCAAUAUGUUGGUCGUGCCUCGGUACGUACUGGCAUCGUUGGUUUCUCCUUUCUGAAGAACCAUGAUGUCAUUUAUUUGGUGUCGUGAGGAAUCAGGACUGUUACUUUGAAAAAAUUAGAGUGUUUAAAGCAGGCUCACGCUUGAAUACAUUAGCAUGGAAUAAUGAAAUAGGACGUUUGAUUCUAUUUUGUUGGUUUCUAGGAUCGACGUAAUGAUUAAUAGGGAUAGUUGGGGGCAUUAGUAUUCAAUUGUCAGAGGUGAAAUUCUUGGAUUUAUUGAAGACUAACUACUGCGAAAGCAUUUGCCAAGGAUGUUUUCAUUAAUCAAGAACGAAAGUUAGGGGAUCGAAGACGAUCAGAUACCGUCGUAGUCUUAACCAUAAACUAUGCCGACUAGGGAUCGGAUGGUGUUAAUUUUUAAUGACUCAUUC
RNAcentral lists this ribosomal RNA (509 nucleotides) under uncultured Glomus. RNAcentral describes it as "SSU rRNA". It matches the Rfam family "Eukaryotic small subunit ribosomal RNA", at positions 569 to 1081 of the family's 1831-position model. Lineage: Eukaryota; Fungi; Glomeromycota; Glomeromycetes; Glomerales; Glomeraceae. The record is from RNAcentral.